RNAcentral lists this ribosomal RNA (253 nucleotides) under uncultured bacterium. RNAcentral describes it as "partial 16S ribosomal RNA". It matches the Rfam family "Bacterial small subunit ribosomal RNA", at positions 524 to 776 of the family's 1533-position model. The record is from RNAcentral.
UACGUAGGGUGCGAGCGUUGUCCGGAAUUAUUGGGCGUAAAGAGCUCGUAGGCGGUUUGUCGCGUCUGCUGUGAAAACUCGGGGCUUAACCCCGGGCCUGCAGUGGGUACGGGCAGACUAGAGUGCGGUAGGGGAGACUGGAAUUCCUGGUGUAGCGGUGAAAUGCGCAGAUAUCAGGAGGAACACCGGUGGCGAAGGCGGGUCUCUGGGCCGUAACUGACGCUGAGGAGCGAAAGCGUGGGGAGCAAACAGG